RNAcentral lists this ribosomal RNA (432 nucleotides) under uncultured Erwinia sp. Its description in RNAcentral is "bacterial SSU rRNA". It matches the Rfam family "Bacterial small subunit ribosomal RNA", at positions 960 to 1392 of the family's 1533-position model. The record is from RNAcentral. Lineage: Bacteria; Pseudomonadati; Pseudomonadota; Gammaproteobacteria; Enterobacterales; Erwiniaceae.
AACGCAAGAACUUACCUACUCUUGACAUCCAGAGAACUUGGCAGAGAUGCCUUGGUGCCUUCGGGAACUCUGAGACAGGUGCUGCAUGGCUGUCGUCAGCUCGUGUUGUGAAAUGUUGGGUUAAGUCCCGCAACGAGCGCAACCCUUAUCCUUUGUUGCCAGCGAUUCGGUCGGGAACUCAAAGGAGACUGCCAGUGAUAAACUGGAGGAAGGUGGGGAUGACGUCAAGUCAUCAUGGCCCUUACGAGUAGGGCUACACACGUGCUACAAUGGCGUAUACAAAGAGAAGCGACCUCGCGAGAGCAAGCGGAACUCAUAAAGUACGUCGUAGUCCGGAUUGGAGUCUGCAACUCGACUCCAUGAAGUCGGAAUCGCUAGUAAUCGUAGAUCAGAAUGCUACGGUGAAUACGUUCCCGGGUCUUGUACACACCG